RNAcentral lists this ribosomal RNA (597 nucleotides) under uncultured Alphaproteobacteria bacterium. RNAcentral's name for it is "bacterial SSU rRNA". It matches the Rfam family "Bacterial small subunit ribosomal RNA", at positions 87 to 720 of the family's 1533-position model. Lineage: Bacteria; Pseudomonadati; Pseudomonadota; Alphaproteobacteria. The record is from RNAcentral.
UCGGGUGAGCGGCGGACGGGUGAGUAACGCGUGGGAACGUGCCCUUUGGUACGGGAUAACUGAGGGAAACUUCAGCUAAUACCGUAUGUGCCCUACGGGGGAAAGAUUUAUCGCCAUUGGAGCGGCCCGCGUUGGAUUAGGUAGUUGGUGAGGUAAAGGCUCACCAAGCCUACGAUCCAUAGCUGGUCUGAGAGGAUGAUCAGCCACACUGGGACUGAGACACGGCCCAGACUCCUACGGGAGGCAGCAGUAGGGAAUCUUGCGCAAUGGGCGAAAGCCUGACGCAGCCAUGCCGCGUGAAUGAUGAAGGUCUUAGGAUUGUAAAAUUCUUUCACCGGGGAAGAUAAUGACGGUACCCGGAGAAGAAGCCCCGGCUAACUUCGUGCCAGCAGCCGCGGUAAUACGAAGGGGGCUAGCGUUGCUCGGAAUUACUGGGCGUAAAGGGCGCGUAGGCGGACAGUUUAGUCAGAGGUGAAGCCCAGGGCUCAACCUUGGAAUUGCCUUUGAUACUGGCUGUCUUGAGUUCGGGAGAGGUGAGUGGAAUGCCGAGUGUAGAGGUGAAAUUCGUAGAUAUUCGGCGGAACACCAGUGGCGAAG